This 77-nucleotide transfer RNA is filed under the name Deinococcus metalli. Its description in RNAcentral is "tRNA-Arg". It matches the Rfam family "tRNA". Rfam says of the family: Transfer RNA (tRNA) molecules are approximately 80 nucleotides in length. Their secondary structure includes four short double-helical elements and three loops (D, anti-codon, and T loops). Further hydrogen bonds mediate the characteristic L-shaped molecular structure. tRNAs have two regions of fundamental functional importance: the anti-codon, which is responsible for specific mRNA codon recognition, and the 3' end, to which the tRNAs corresponding amino acid is attached (by aminoacyl-tRNA synthetases). tRNAs cope with the degeneracy of the genetic code in two manners: having more than one tRNA (with a specific anti-codon) for a particular amino acid; and 'wobble' base-pairing, i.e. permitting non-standard base-pairing at the 3rd anti-codon position. The record is from RNAcentral. Lineage: Bacteria; Thermotogati; Deinococcota; Deinococci; Deinococcales; Deinococcaceae.
GCACUCGUAGCUCAGUUGGAUAGAGCGUUGGCCUCCGAAGCCAAAGGUCGCUGGUUCGAGCCCAGUCGAGUGCACCA